Zootermopsis nevadensis is the source of this 1903-nucleotide long non-coding RNA. RefSeq lists it as uncharacterized. The record is from RefSeq and is a predicted model, not a curated record. Lineage: Eukaryota; Metazoa; Arthropoda; Insecta; Blattodea; Termopsidae.
AAAUCUGUAAAUUUUAUCAGAAACGUUUUUCAAUCUGAUUUAUAUUUAAUCAGGUACAAGAACAAGAAAUUAAUGACCAUUCGGAAUAGGACACAUGUACAUAUAUACUUUUUCCCUUAGAAUGAUCGAUACUAUGACCUCCCAGAAUAUUGACCUUUCCUGCUGGGACACAGUGGCAACUACAGACCUAAUUUAUUUCAUUCCCUCGCUUAUAUAUGAGAAUAUAGAGGAGGAAUUAGUCCAUCUAAUAAAAGCCUUAAAACAUGCGUUUAUCUUUUUUGCAAAUUAACAAAUUCAGAUAUGCAAGUUAUUUGCAAAAAUGUCAGCUGCUUAGCAUUACGUGUUUUCUGUGGAACCAGAAGGCUGAGAACCAUGUUCACAAGACCAUGGAAUCCCAUCAUUAGUUGGAUGAAUUCAUUUUGCACCUUUACAUCCUACUUUCUUAAGACGACAAUCAACCUUAAUAGAUCCUCCCAUCUACGCCUGCGUCUAACAAAUAGUCUCUUCCAUUCAGGUUUUCUGACUACAAUUUUUCAUGUCCGUAAGUGUGCUACAUGUCCCACUUACCUCAGUUCUUGUUGAUUUGAUAAACGUAAUGAUUUUCUGUGAAGAGCACAAAUUAUGAUGCGCCUCGCCAUACAUUUAUUUAUGUUCUUCUCUUGCUUUCUGUCUCUUAACGUCCAAAUAUUCUCCUCAACACUUGUUCACACCACCGUCACUUUGUGUUCUUUCCGUAGGGAGAGGAGCAAAGUUUCACAGUGUUUUUAUUGAAUAACCGUAUUUAUUUUCUUUCUACUCUGAUGUGCAAAACUUAGGUUAUGUGAUACUGUAAUGUUUGAAAGCUGAUUUGUGUCAUGAAGUUAUGACCGUACCUUGAGUUUGUGGCUGAACUCUGCACCGUUCCUCGACAAUGAGCGUAUGGCAGGCAACUGGAUGAUGUCACGCAGCUGUUCUAUUGGGACAGACAGGAAUCGCUCGUUACACAGCAGCACACAAUACUACAUCUGACAAGUUACUUUUACCACGUGGUGACUGUUUACGUUUCAAGAGUUGCAUUUCUUACACAGCGUCGAAUAUGAGGAUUACUCUCAAGAAUGAAAAGUAUGCAGAAGGAAGCGGCCGUGGCCUGUGUUCAGGGUUCUAUAAUUUACCUGGAGAAAACUACGAAAAAGACCUAGAAUCGAAGUCAGAUCUACCCCAAUAUGAAGUGCUAACUACUACAGUGUUAGUCCAAACAUUUUACAUUUAAGGAGUGUUGUGGUCACGCUGUUACAUCGCGAGGACGUUGGUGACCACCAGAGCCGCCAACUCAUUGUUUAUUGUUUGAAUGAUUCUUAUCUUUCGAAUGAGUUUCCUUUUGCCUUUGUUCAUGUAAUCAAAGGAAACCGUCGUGUGGAAAAAAAUAGUGGCUGUAAUGUGAGUUAAAGAAACCUAGACCGCCAGUCAUAACAAAUAACAUUACACAGAAUGCAAACUGAAUGACGGAUAUCAGGAUAGAUUCUGGUUAAAGACCUACACCGACACUGUAUCAGUUGUAUAAUUUGUUUAUUGCCCGGUGAGACUAAGGUUUGUUGCGUAAUGGGAAAGGAAGUGGUCGUGAUAUAUUUAUUCGUCUGAUAAGGCUAAGAGAAACUUACAAAACUCCUUGGUCAGCAUAUGCCUGUUCUGGAUUGACACGUGAACCGAGCACCUUUAAACAUCAUUGUUGUGAAGAUAAUGCUUUAUAUUCGGUCUAAGUCAGUAGUAAAAUUAAUUAGCUAUUUAUAUUUGAACGAAGCAUGAAAAUAAUUUAUCGUGUUUAGAUAAUUUUAUGAUGAAACCGGACAACACAGACAAUGCCCUGUGUUAAUAGUAUUAAAAUGAAAUACAUUUUCUCAGUUAAUAAAUGAUCGUAGUUAGUUUA